AGGACGAACGCUGGCGGCGUGCUUAACACAUGCAAGUCGAGCGGAAAGGCCCUUCGGGGUACUCGAGCGGCGAACGGGUGAGUAACACGUGAGUAAUCUGCCCUUAGCUCUGGGAUAGCUCCGGGAAACCGGGAUUAAUACCAGAUACGACCACUUUAGACAUCUGCCGUGGUGGAAAGAAUUUCGGCUAAGGAUGAGCUCGCGGCCUAUCAGCUUGUUGGUUGGGUAACGGCCUACCAAGGCGACGACGGGUA
RNAcentral lists this ribosomal RNA (254 nucleotides) under uncultured bacterium. RNAcentral's name for it is "partial small subunit ribosomal RNA". It matches the Rfam family "Bacterial small subunit ribosomal RNA", at positions 26 to 285 of the family's 1533-position model. The record is from RNAcentral.